RNAcentral lists this ribosomal RNA (322 nucleotides) under uncultured fungus. RNAcentral's name for it is "SSU rRNA". It matches the Rfam family "Eukaryotic small subunit ribosomal RNA", at positions 1380 to 1702 of the family's 1831-position model. Lineage: Eukaryota; Fungi. The record is from RNAcentral.
CUGCGCGAGCAUUUCGGCUCGUAGUGCGUUCUUAGAGGGACAAACCACGGCUAGUGGUUGGAAGUUUGAGGCAAUAACAGGUCUGUGAUGCCCUUAGAUGUUCUGGGCCGCACGCGCGCUACACUGACACAGUCAGCGAGUGUUAACCUUGACCGAAAGGUCUGGGAAAUCUUGUGAAACUGUGUCGUGCUGGGGAUAGACCAUUGCAAUUAUUGGUCUUCAACGAGGAAUUCCUAGUAAGCGCAAGUCAUCAGCUUGCGUUGAUUACGUCCCUGCCCUUUGUACACACCGCCCGUCGUUACUACCGUUGGGAAUGGCUAGA